This 998-nucleotide long non-coding RNA is filed under the name Olea europaea subsp. europaea. Lineage: Eukaryota; Viridiplantae; Streptophyta; Magnoliopsida; Lamiales; Oleaceae. The record is from RNAcentral.
GUUUGAGAGAUGAUAGUGAGGGUGUAGACGAACCUGUUGAGAAAAAGAGUGGGAGUGUUCCAAGAAAAAAUCCACAACCAUCAAGGAAAAAUCAGAGGGAUGGUGGAAGGAAUAUAGUAUCUCUUGUCCAGUUGAAGCAUCCAUUCCAAGGGACAAUGAUCGUGCUUAUGAUCCUCCAGAGGGUUGCCUCGCUUUGAAUUCGACCAUUCUUCAUGUCGGGUUGAGGCUAACAUUUCUUCACAUUACCAGGAAGUUCCUAUCCUCGUGAGGAAUCAUCCUUGUGCAACUUUGUCCAAACGGGUAGAGGUCCUUGUGUGCUUGCAUGCUACUUUGGCACAAGUUUUCUGUGGACUAGUUUAGUUUCUUGUAUAUUUUUAAGGAGGACAACAAGGAUUCAAGGUGAUAUUAUACCCACUGUUUAGGCUAGGACAGGAUGGUCUAGUGUUGGGUGUUAUUUCUUCUUUGAAGAGCUGGAAAGAUAACUUCUUUUACAUAAGGUGGGAUUGGGAUUGGUAGUUUAAUUCGACUGAGGUGAAGGGGAUGACGUUUUUCCAAUUCGGUAUCGUAAAAUUUGUAAGUGUUCUGUAUUUAGCCCCCAUAUGGCUCCCAUUCUUUCCAAAUUUUAUUGGUUGGAGUAGUGUUUUUAAAAAAAUGUGUGAUUGAAAAAGAAUGAAAUGUUUUUGAUUUGCGUGUAAUAUUAUUUUAUGGAAAAUCGCGUGGUUAAAAAUAAUAGAGAAAAAAAGAAUGAGAAAGAGAAUGAGGGCCAAAUAGGGGCUUAGAUAGUUUCUUACUGGACUGCUGGCAUGACAUUUCAGAUUUUUUCCCUUUUUUCUUAUGUUUGAAAGUUUACCGUCCUUGCAAUAUUAUUAUGAGCACGAGGUAGGUAGCUAGGGCUGGUGAAGAGCAUGUCCAUAGAAUUUCUGUUUUAAAUUUUUUUUUGCAAAGUGUUGCAACACUUGCAACAUUAACUCAGAUUACUGAGGACCAGGUCUUUGAAA